Molecule: long non-coding RNA, 11214 nt
Filed under: Coffea arabica (coffee)
Lineage: Eukaryota; Viridiplantae; Streptophyta; Magnoliopsida; Gentianales; Rubiaceae
Description: long non-coding RNA (CARA_LNC004009)
Source: RNAcentral
AACAAUUAGCAAUAAUUGUCACUUGACUUUAAUGACUACUGUGAGCGGGUCAUGUGCCAAACACUAAAAAAGGUUGCUUCCUGCUUCAAUCCAAUUCUCAACAACAUCAUCAUCAUUUUUACUUUAAGCCUUUGAGGUAAGACAGAAUCACUCUCUGUAGAAUUGUGGGGGGGGGGGGGGGGUAAAACUUAAUAGCAGGUGGAAAUCCAGUACAAACAAACAGCGGGGAUUCUGGUUAUGAAAAGGAGCAAAAUCACUUGGGUUUCUGCGAAUUUUAACGCAUGAGGAUUCUUUCAAUCAUUCUUCUUGCAGAUAGGAGGAGUACUGUACUGCUGCUACUGUUAAUUAUGCAUGAUGAUGAAUAAUGAUGGGAUGUUUACCGCUUACCAAGCCACAGCAAUAAUAAUGGAUGGUGGCCUGGUGAUUAUCCUUUAUAUAUACUUGCUGUUACUGUGGCUGUCAACAUAAUCUUACCGACCUACCUCCCCAAUUUGUGGCUUCUGAUCUCCAGUCUCCCUCCUCCUUCAAGGUUCAACAAGCAAUAUCAGAAAAAGCAAAAGCCAAAUAUACAUAUCAUUAUGCCCUUUAAAAAUGGUUUUGUGUAAUGAAUGCCGAUUAUCAAUUGAACCAGCAUAAAGGUUAAAAAGCACCACCAUUUUCCAUUUUCCUCGGCAAGGCAUAGGAAAAAUGCUGCUCCGGCUCCGGCUCCGCUCUAUUUUCCUAAAGAAAAACACAUGGACCAGACCUAGCCACAUAUAGAAGAGAAAUCAUAUUCACAAGGCGUUUCCACAAAUUUACAACUGCGUUAUCUUCAUUCCCCCGGUGUCGCAAAUAACAGCAGUGGCUAAUGGGAUAUUCUGAUUCUUCAAAUGCAAGGCUAAAAAUCGUGCCAAACUAUUUAUAGCAUUGCAGCCGUUCAAGAAGUUGGAGACGUGGGAAUAUUGUAGGCUAAAGGUCGUGCCAAACUAAAACACAUUGCCACCUGUUCAAGAAGUUUCUUUGUUCGAGAACUUCCUUGAUUCCACUUUCUGCGAAAAUGGGCAUCAAGAUGAUGCAAGAAAACAACACAACAUUUUAUUCUUUCACCGUACUCUUAACGUUUAUUAUUCCAAAAAAAUGGGAGGAGGAAAAGAUCUAACAGUAACAGGGUUUGGAUCAUGUGCUUUCACAUGUUCCCUACUACAAUUCCUUGCAAAAAAGUAGCACUGAUACUCAUUAUACCUUGAGGUUUUCAGUCCAUUAACGUAAAAUAAGGAGGAGCCACUGCCCCAUCUUAAUGAGCUUUAACUAAAGCUGCAAUUUGUUAGCCUUAGAAAGGAAGAGAAAAUUAAAACCUAGUACUGCGUUCUCUGUGUGUGUGUGUGUGCCUGUUUUUUAUUCCAGCCUAAUUUGAGUACAGUUUCUUUUUUUUGUUUUUGGCUCCUGGACUCCUGUCCCUAGGUUUGUCUUCAAUUACGAGGCAUUGCUUCACAGUUUACACUAGCGGCUGAGGUCUAAACGCAUAUCACAAUUGCGGUAUUUGGGUCAAGCAGACAAGAACCAGGAUUUUUCCUGUCGAACCAAUGGACCUCCGAAUUCUACCAGAAAAUCAGACAUUGGGAUCACGAAAAAUUGCACUCAUGUGUGCCUGUAAAUUCAUUUGUUGCAGGAUUUUCUACUCCACACAGAUCUCAUCCGAGCAAUAGGAGCAAGCUCAUUAUGAGGCCGCCCAUAAUUCACAAGCCCAUUUCUCUUCAGUCUGUCCACACUCCACAGGAUUCCUUUAUCGAUUUCUUUCAGAUAGUAGUGUUUGUUUGCCAGAAAAAUUAAAGAAUUAGCAAAUUUAUGAGGCCCACCAUCUAAAAUUUUCUUGUCAUCGUUCAUUUUUCUAUAAAACUUUUCCUGCAGAAAUCGAUAGGAAAAUUAGUCACACAAAGUUUCAACUAAUUAGAUUUCUUUUACAAAUCCAUUUGUUUUUCUAAACUAUUUCCUCCAUUCUAAACUUCUAUAUAAAUUAGAAUAUAUUAGAAUUUACAAUUCAAGAAAUCCACUCGACAUUUUAUUCUUAUUUUAAUAAUUAAUGAAUUAGUAAUUUGUUGAAUUUUAUGCUGCUUUUUAUGUCUAUAUACUUGUGGUGGAAAAAUUAAUUUUUUUUUUUCCUUUACCUUGCUUUAUUUCACUUUUCUCAUGACGCACUUUCUUACACAACUUUUCCAUCAAACAAACAUAGCCUCAUUUUUUUUUCUCUCCUGCGUGUAAAGAAUAGAUUUGCACGGUUAUUUCCUUCAUGUUUGCUUGUUUCCUUUUCCCUUUCCGUUUGGUUUGUGUGACAAGUCAGAAGAACAGCUAAAAUGUGUGAUCGUGAAAAUUGGGAAACAGAAAUCCUUGAUGAUAGUAGAAAUGUUGGCUCACGUUAAUUCCAGUAGUUGUUUCGUGGCACAAGUUGUUGGGCCUUCUCAAGUCAUCGCCUCAUCAUCCAUCACACUUGGACAUCUCAUCGAAAAUGGCCUUUCUGCUCCAACCGAAGGCAAGAGCAAUUUGGUCACAAACCAUAACGUCUCCUACUCCAUUUCCCUAUCCAUCCUUUUAAAGAGACAAAAACUUGGAUAGAUUCGAUCUUGCAGAUUUAGCAAUUUAAAUUUUGCCGCACAUAUAAUACUUGAAUUGCUGAGAUAAUGUGACAAAUUUUAAAUCGCUAAAUCUACAUAGAUCAGGUUUAGAUUUAUCCAAAUGUUUGCCCUUCAAAGAAGGCAAUGCAAUGAGUUUGCACGAUUCUUUUAGCCUAUAACCCUAUUAUGACUUAUUCUGUAGUUAUUUUAGAAAAUUGUUGGCAUUUAUUCAAAAUGCCCCUCCCUGCUCCUCUCACCGGUAACCUCCGUCACCUAUCGCCGCCAUCCCCCUCCCUCCCAAUAUUGGUAUACUAUUUAAUAUUUUUUUGUGUUUUAUUAAAAAAAAAAACUUGUGAGUAUUGCACAGUAAAUGGUGUUUGAAACAAAUUGGUGUUAUCCAAAUAGACCCUUUAAUAGUUCCUUCAAUGAGUUAUCUUAGACUUUGAUAUAUGCCCUUAUUUAAUCUAAAUUAAGGCCCCAAGUAAGUACCGCGUAAACCUCAACAUAUGAAAACUGAUCAUAGAAUUUUGUGGCGUACUAGGUAGUUAGCGAACGGGACAAUUAUUCUUGGGGUGAUUUUCUCUUGUUUGAAUUGACAGCGCCGACUUCUCCGAGAGAAAUCCUACGUAUAGGAGACAACUGAGUAUUUUUGAAUGAGUAGUAGAAGAAGUACAAGGAACGAAGGACAUAAAGAGAGGUGGAGACUCGUGAAGCCUUUUUUUUUUUUUUUUCAUAAAACCAAUUUAUUUCGCUCGAGAAAUCUCAAAGAACAGAAUAAUAAUGCCAAUUUGUCCAAAAUUAUUUCAUUUUUCCAACCAGAUGUAUCUAACCUGACUGAGUACGAGUUCCAAUUACAUCAAAUUAAGCUAAAUUAUCGCAUCCCUACAACUCUUUUGGCUGCUUUUGAAACCGCCUGAUGACAUAAAAGAGACAAUAAUAAUGUUGAAGAUACACACAUACUACUAUACAAAAUGUGGACGGCAAACACUCCCAUAAAACGGAUCGAUAUCAACCAAAAACGGAUACAGCUUUUUAACAUGAAACUUGUACGUUUUUUCAAGGAUGAGAUGGGAAGAUUUCCUGAAAACUUGUAACGGCAAUUACCACCUGAGUUUUGAUAUUCUUAUAUUACAUGAUGACAUCUUCAACUGACUAAAUUGUUGCUACUACUAUUAAGUAUUAUCCACUCCGUCAACCUACCUCUCAAGGCCUGUCCAUGAACAAAGUUGGCACCAACAACCAUACUCCCGUCGUUGCUUUUCCACUAUUUUAUCAGUCUCUGAGGCUGGCUGGGAGUGGGGAGAUUUCACCAGCUGCUUGCCCAUAAUUCAAUACCAACUGGUCAACAUCACAAGUAUGGUAUACUGAGCUGUUUAUUAUUGUUUCAUAUAGACCAUUCGAUCUCUUCUUAUCUUAAUCUGAAAGCAAUUCAAUUGGGCAUCCAAGGGGCCAUCUGUCCAUACAUUUUGCGGUUACAUGCGUGUCUACUCUUCAUAGCAGCAAUAACAAUACUUGACUCCCAUUUUAAAAAAAAAAAAAAAAAGAAAGGAUCUUUUGGGGAACAUUUCAAUUCUUAUAUACGAACAACUCUUAAUGGGUCAGAGCAGAGAGUACUAUUAUUGGCAUCAGUUAGAGGAGGAUAUACGACAUUAAUGGGCUUGACCUACUCACAGCCUGUCAUUUGAGGCUUAAUUUAAUGUCAGUUUUGCUUCUUUAUCCGACGUAUUAUUAUGAAAUCUAGUCAACGAACUUGUCACAAAUGAAUAUCUAUACAUAUAUUUGAGGUGGGAGGAAUACCCUAACAGUAACAGCCCAUGUGAUUUUAUCGUUAAUUUGGGCCCACUUUAAUGCGAUGUCUUCCCUUUGGUGGGUUCUGCUCUCAUCUCAUCAUAAUACCGAUAGCUGAAAAUGACACCUACCAAGGCCAUUUGAUUUCUCUUUUCGUUCCUCCUUUUCAAGCCAAAACCAAAAGUUUGAAAGAUAAAAGAAGGGAAAAUUGCAUAAAUCUCCCCUUGAGGUUUCUGAUACUAGCACUCAUCUCCCCUAUGGUUUAGAAAAUAGCACUUACCACCCCUGAACUUAAGGAUUGUGUUGCCAAUAUAGUCCAUGCCAGAAAAGUUACCGUUCAAAAAUUUUUUAAGGAGUGAGAUGAGCAAUUUAUAUCAGAUUUGCCUUUUAUAUUGCUUGUCAAGUUGUGUUAAUAGAGGAAUGACAAAAUACAAAAAACUAUUGAGGGUUAGUAAAUUCAAGGGGUGUAAGUGCAAUUGAAUGAGGUUUACCAACAAUACACGAAGCAACGGUAGAUACUAAUUAUUAGUUAAACGACUAUAUAUCCAGGUUCUUGUAGCAAAGUUUAUAAAGAAUACAUGUCGCUUUUAAAACUCUCUAUUAGUAAUGUGAAUAGCUAUUUGUGGGGGGCAACACAACUGUUUAUAUUGUCAACACCAAUUAUAUACAAAAAAAAAUUUAUCACUUAAACAUCACUAAAAGUUACUGAACAUGAGAUAAAUCUAGUUAGAAGUAAUUAGAAGUGCAUAUGAAUAAGAUAAAAUUGUCUUUAGUAAAUGAAAAAUGCAGUAAGUACGUUAGAAUCACGUACUAAAAUUGUUGUUGCUACUGAUAUUUUCAGAUUACAGAGUGAUAAUUGUAUUGAUGGAAAGAAAUGUAGCAAUUUGAGAAGUAGUAGUAGUAGGCUGAACUAGAGAAGAUUUUGAAAUAGAAAUGACUUGAGCAGGUAUAUUUGUGCAAGUUCUUUUUAUACUUAUUUUAAUAAAACCUUCAGAAUUACUUACUGGCCUUCCUUUCUACAAUUGUAUAAAAUUAUACUUAAAUUGAUUGGUUUGAAAAAUAUAAUAUGAAAAUAUGUACGGCGUUUUCUCCCCUUAGUUGGUACCAUUUCUUAGUAUUGCUUACAAUGAUUAAUGAUAGUAAAACUCACAAGUAAUCUAGUUCAAUUAGUCACUCAAUUUGCUGACAAAAUAUAAAUUUUCUUUUCUAAAAUUCGUUCUUUAAGUUUCUACAAUUAGGUAGGGUAUAAAAGUAAUAUCAUAUAAUUUAUCGUUAGUAAUGGGUCCAAUUUCCUCCUAGGGGAGGUUAGUGCAAUUUUAGAAAUUAUAGGGGAGGUGAUUGCUAGCGUCGGAAACCUCAGGGGAGGUUUCUGCAAUUAUCCCAUAAAAGAACAUGCAAACAAAAAAUAUAUAGUCCUAGUAGAAACUUUAUAUUUUAUAUCAGAAUUUUCAAUAUCAACUCUAAGGGGCAACUGCAGGUUUCAGGAUGACCAAGUUGCAGUCUUGAUUUCAGGCACCAAUAGUAGUAGUAGGGCCCUCGGGGGUUGAGAUUUACAGAUAAUCUUGUCACGACGGACAUUUCAUUUGCCACAUUUACCAUAUACUACCAUUUUAGCAUGGGAUUCAUACCUAAGAUUUACAAACAUAUCUACCUAAAUAGUAGCUAGCUAUGCAUUUUUUUCCCUCUCAAAAAACGAAGCCUAGGCUUGCAUAAUCGUAGUAUACCCGCUUAGUUAAGUGUUGUUGACCAAGUUGUCGCGCUAAUUGAAGUUGCAAUUUGUAUGGCUCAAAAUCCACAAAAUGCCUAUGGGCUAUACGAUGACUCCAGCAACGGGUCGCAUUGAAAAAGCACUGCUAGCUGAUGGCAAAUGCUGUUUCGGAGGAAGGAUCGAGAAAAGGACCCAAGUGCGACCCAACUGCGUCGAAGUUGAACCAUUCCCUGCUAAGGCUAUCUUCCACAACGUAAUGCUUUGGAUGGAGGAUUCCGUUUACUUUCCAGAUAUCACAAGCACGAUUAGAGAAACGGGGAUUUCUCACCUGCAAGCUGUAGUACCUGUUAGGAUUGCGAUUUUUCAAAAGUUUUAUAUCAAAAUAAUGUAAUAUAAUUAUUGGAUGCAUGUGAGAUAAAAAAAUAAUUAAAAAUAUAUUUAUAAAAAACAUAAAAAUUCUUUGUUAGAAAACUGCAAUUUAAGCAUAGUCUAAGUUUAUCAUUUUAUAAAUUAAUGCAAGAGUCCAUGCUACAACAGAAAAAACAUAUCUGCGUAAUUUUCCUUCUAGUGAUUUGGGAUAUGGUCAUGCUCCAUUGAAACUGUUGAGAUGCCUUGAAUCAGGUCUUCGACUUAUGGCGAUUCGACUAUGUUCUGUUUUUAUUUUGGAUCUAUUUUUGGGUCCAGUCCGUUUGAUUGUUUGGUUGUAUAUAUAUACACCUUAUAUUCAUUCUGUAAACAUUUCUCAUUCGUUCCAAACCCUAAUAAAAUCUGAUUUCCCCCAAAAUUGUUCUAGUGUUCUUGAUUGUUCUCUUGUUUUGUUGCAUCUGUUAUAACAGAAAUAAAGAAGAUUCGAACACUACUGAAUCUAGUUCCGCUUGUACUACAUCCAAUGAAUCACAGAUGUUGCUUGAAGUUCUUACUUGGAGGGCAUUCAAUAAUUGAGCCAAUUAAAUCCAAAUUGCAGUCUCGUCUUUCGUGAGAAACGAUGAUAUUGGGCACAUUGAUUGCGAGGAGUGAUGUUAAACAGAUAGAAGCGGGUGGCAAAAGAAAAGAAAAUCUCAAGAGAAAAAUCUACGAAACGUGCAUCAAGAGCGCAGAAAAUUUGGUUUGUGUGAGUAGAAGAAGAUUAAGAAGUGGCUGGCGGGCUUAAAAUCAAUUUAGACCUAAAACGAUGACAAUCAUUGCGAUUACCACUACUGGCACCUCAGGGACAAAAGGAAAGUACAACAAAAAUGCCAUUCGCAAAUCAUCGGCAUUGUGGUGGUCGAGUACAAAAUCUGGAAAGCAAUCGAAUGCACGAUGAAAGGAGAAUAUUGGAUUUUCCCAUUGUCGUCCUACAUUUUUUUCUUCAGAAUUGUUACUCACUUAAUGUUUGUCACUAUCGCUUUUGAGAUGAGAAUAGUUGGAAAGUUUUUGGUGAAAAUGCUAUAAUUGUACUUUUCUGCCCCCCCCCCCCCCAAACUUCACGUAGUGCUUUUCUGUUCUAUUCAUAGAUACGCUACAAACAUUUACGAACUGUUACCAUUUCUGGCGAUUUUGUUACUCCACCGAAAAAGUGACAGGAAUUUAUACAAAAAGAAAAGGUGACAUGAAGAUAUAUAUAUAUAUAUGUGUGUGUGUACAUGAAUCAGAAAUGCAGCAAGACAGAGUCAUCUAUGGAGCCUCCCUUGAAAAUCAGAGCCCGAAACGAUGAUACACUUUGAAAAUUGAAAUGGGGUGUCACGUCGAAUCGGCAUCAUUAAUGAUCUCGUGUUAGGCUAUUAACAUUAACAGGAGGACCGCACUAAGGCAGCUAAGAGCUCUCUGCCCAUGGCCGCUUUCCCAAUUCAUCUUACUACGUCGUAAUUGUUGAUAUUUAAAGAAAGAAAGAAAGAAGGCUGAGUCGAAAGGGUUCGUAAAUUCAAUGGAAUUAUACAACUCUUGAUAUGCCGUUAUUUGUGUCGUAUUACUAUUAUAAAUUCAUUGGUCUCAUCAGGGUCUCGCGACAAAAUACAUGCAACUACCACUGCCUUCUGAGCGCUGGCUUCAUCAAAAUCAUCGCCAAGAAUUCCACGUCUGCUGCUUUGUCCAUCCAUCCCGACCGGAGUGAAUGUGAACAGAGAGAUCCCUCCAAUUCUUUUCAAAAACCGAAAUGUAAACCGAUGGGGAGGUGUGACCUUGAAGGAAACAUAAUUAUUAUUUACACGCUCUGUUGAAUAUGAGCAAAUCUUCAGAUCCCAAUGAUAACCUAGAAUUAAUGACUUAAUUAAUGGAAAGGUGGUCGACCCAAUUAAGGGUUGAAUUUAGCCCCCCCCCCCCCCCCGCCCGGAACUUCCCCACAAAAAACAUAGCAUAAGCAUGAGCUACACGUACCUCAUCAUCGUAGGGGGACCUUGUUCGACUGAGUGAUUCAUGAUGAUUUUUAGCUUCUUAGCAUGGCCAACGUUCCAUCAGGAAAAUCUCAUAAUAGUAAGUAUGUUUUAGCUCCAAACGUGAUUGAGGCUUAUGCUGCGAAAUGUGCGAUCAGAUGACUGCUUGAGUUUGGGUUUACAUCCAAGUUAUUAUUUUUCACAAAAGAUUAUUAUUAGUAUUAUGAUGAGCCAAAGUCUAAAAUCUGAUGACUCGUUUUGUAGGCAGGAUGCUUGGUUGAUGGUGUCUAGCAUCUGCAACAAUUUUACUUCACAGUUACUGUGAAGCCGUGUGAUUGUGCAAACCAAGAUCACUUACCUUAUCAUGUAACUAACGUAUUGCUCUAGCUAGAUAUGCAUGUAAUGUCAUGGUAGAUGAUUGUUUAUGGAGGCAAUGCCCUCUUAUCUUUUGUUCACUAAUUUCCAUAUCUUUCUUUUCAAUCUUUCUAUCCAGAAAAAAAAAUUUUUUUUUUUUUAAAAAAAGGGCAACAUCACUGGUUGGUUGGAUAACCAACUGAACCAGUUAAUUAUGGAGUUAGACUGUCUCCGAAUUAGACCAGAAUUGAUGCAUUAACUAAUCUAACCGAAAUCAAUUAAUGGUAAACCAAAUGUGUGCGAGAUCGGUUGGUUAACUCGUCAAAUCAAAUUGGACCAAGUACUUUUUGGUGGUUCGUUUUCCUCAGCCGCUUCAUUUCCAGAGUACAGAGACUUGAUAGUGACCAAAAUCGCUGCUAGUAAUGGUAACAUAAAACAUGCUUCCACCGACGAUAAACAGAAGCUAUGGAAAUGGGAAUUGAUAUUCGGCCGCCCAUUUUAACCUCUUAUAUACUUCAAUUCACUCACUAAAUAAUAUGCCUCCAAAGAAUGCUAGAGGCUAAUUAGGAGCGCAAAUAUCACUUCCAAGGAGUGGUAGAGGCUAAUUGGGAGUGCAAAUAUCACUUCGCUUUCCAAAUGUUCAGCUGAAACAUACAUGUCUCAGCGACAUGAAAAUGAAAGAAGAAACAGGGGAGCCCAGAAACAGAAAAUAAUGGGUCUAGUUUCUCAGAAUGAAUCCAAAUGUAAACUGUUUAUGAUUAUACUACUAGUAUAACUGUGAAUCAAACACGGCUAAAUAUCCCCAAAAAAAAUGUAUAAUAAAAGAAGUAACAAGAGAGAAAUAAGAGUAAUAAUCAACAAAGCAGAAGCAGCAGCAGCAGCAACACCCAUAUUACUGGCUUCUGGCUUCUUGCCCCUGAUGAUUUGAUUAUGACGAUGACGAUGAUCUCUAUACAUACAUUUGAGAUGAUAAAAGAAAAACUUCCUUCUUCCUGCAAAUCUCUACUAACCUCUCUCCGCUUUCCUUCUCUGCCAAUUUUAUUUCACAAACUCCACUUCUCUUUUCUUUUUCUUUUUAUCAAUGAUCAAAUAAAUAUAGGGAGCGAGAACUUUACCUCUUACCUCUCCUCCGCCUCAUCCAAUCUCUCUUUUUCCCGGUCACCAUCUUCAUUGUCUAAUUCCUCAGCUUGACUAUAACACAAUUUAUAUCCUCUCAAUGCUAGAUUACACUUUCCCGGCACAGAAUGCUUCCGCUUUCUCAUCUCGGUGAUGAGCAUUUCAAGUAUAUGUGCGAGUUCCGAAGAUGGAUUGACAGAGAAGUGAAAGAAUGAAUAGUACAAAGCUAAUGCUUCAAUAUUUGUCCUCCUUAUUUUUUUUUCUUUUCCCUUUUUGAGUUUACGAGGAUUGGGUUAGAGGAAAGUUCUCAAAAGAAUCAAUAGAAGGGUGGUGGUGGGGGAGAUGCGUAUGACACCCCAAUUACUGGCGGCAAUGGCCCUUCGUAUACCGGAGCCGGAGGCGGUGGGCUCCCGUAAAUCACUGGCGGAGGCGGUGGUGGAUGUUCACAUGGAAUUGGGGGAGGCGGCGAGGGUGAUGGUGGCGGCGGAGAGUGGUAAUGAACUGGCGGGGGAGGUGAUGGUGAUGGGGGAGGUGGUGAGUUGUAGUGAACUGGGGGUGGAGGCGAUUGCGAUGGCGGCGGCGGCGGUGAAUUAUAGUAAGUUGGUGGUGAUGGUGGAGGUGGUGAAUUGUAUAUAAUCGGUGGUGGUGGGGGUGAUGGUGAUGGUGGUGGCUUAUAAAUAUAUGGUGGUGGUGGUGGUGAAGGUGAUGGCGGAGGUGGUGGUGGUUCUAUACAAGGCGGUGGUGAUGGUGGUGGAGGGGGUUCUAUACAAGGUGGUGGUGGUGGAGGGGGUUCUAUACAAGGUGGUGAUGGUGGUGGAGGUGAAUGAGGUGGAGGCGGGGAGUGUACAACUGGCGGUGGAGGCGGGGAGUGUACAACUGGUGGCGGGGGCGGCGAUGAGUAAAUGUACACUGGUGGUGGAGGUGGGGGUGAGUUUGGUGGCGGAGGUGGGGGUGAAUUAUAAUAGUAGGGGAUAGGUGGUGGAGAGUAUAGAGGAGGUGGUGGAGAAUUUGGUGGUGGAGGCGGCGGUGAGCGCACACAGUAUGGCGGAGUAGGCGAAGGAGGUGGAGGGGAAGGUGGAGGUGGUGAGAUAGCCGGAGGAGGUGGAGAUGGCGGUGGAGGAGAUGGAGGAGGGGGAGAAGGUGGAGGAGGAGAUGGAGGAGGUGGUGGCGGUGAGUAAAUUGGCGGAGGAGGUGAAGGCGGAGGAGGCGGAGGAGGAGGAGGAGGAGAAGGUGGAGGCGGUGAGGGGGGAGGAGGUGGCGGAGAAUAAACUGGCGGUGGAGGAGGAGGAGAGUAAACAGGUGGUGGUGGGGG